RNAcentral lists this ribosomal RNA (492 nucleotides) under uncultured bacterium. Its description in RNAcentral is "partial 16S ribosomal RNA". It matches the Rfam family "Bacterial small subunit ribosomal RNA", at positions 29 to 507 of the family's 1533-position model. The record is from RNAcentral.
AGUGAACGCUGGCGGUAGGCCUAACACAUGCAAGUCGAACGGCAGCACAGUAAGAGCUUGCUCUUACGGGUGGCGAGUGGCGGACGGGUGAGGAAUACACCGGAAUCUACUUUUUCGUGGGGGAUAACGUAGGGAAACUAACGCUAAUACCGCAUACGACCUACGGGUGAAAGCAGGGGAUCUUCGGACCUUGCGCGAUUGAAUGUGCCGAUGUCGGAUUAGCUAGUUGGCGGGGUAAAGGCCCACCAAGGCGACGAUCCGUAGCUGGUCUGAGAGGAUGAUCAGCCACACUGGAACUGAGACACGGCCCAGACUCCUACGGGAGGCAGCAGUGGGGAAUAUUGGACAAUGGGCGCAAGCCUGAUCCAGCCAUACCGCGUGUGUGAAGAAGGCCUUCGGGUUGUAAAGCCCUUUUGUUGGGAAAGAAAAGCAGCAGGUUAAUACCCCGCUGUUCUGACGGUACCCAAAGAAUAAGCACCGGCUAACUUCGUG